This 918-nucleotide long non-coding RNA is filed under the name Marmota monax (woodchuck). The record is from RNAcentral. Lineage: Eukaryota; Metazoa; Chordata; Mammalia; Rodentia; Sciuridae.
GUUUGUUGAAUGCUUUCUUACCUGCCAGGCACCGAUGAAGAGCAACUGAUUAGACUGUGACAAUCUUCACUGAGGCUGAGAAGCUCGGUGCAAGAAGCAAUUAUUAUUCUUCACAGGAGACCCAGAAGACCUUCGGCUUAGACUACUCUAGUGUGCGAGAUUUUGGGAACACUGCUAUCCUGAGCUUCUACCAGAGCUUCUGUGAGCAUGGGCAGCUGAAGGAAUGAACCACCUUUCACUAGAAGAGACUUCUGCAUGGGGAGGGGUCUGUGUCAACCUGCUCAGCCUGGAAUUCUGGGGCAGACACUUCCCAGCUAUGGGGACAUCCAGAAUUUCUCCAAAUCCCACAGCAUGAUAAGGGACAAAGACAACUCAGAUUAGGAAGAUCUCAGCCUGGUACCUCCUGGCACCCCACUCUUCACAGCAAACACAAGGAGACAGUUAGGCCACACCUACAAGCAGGGAGUAGAGGUCCUACAUCUUGGGAUACCAACUCCAGAGUCAUUCUGUGUCUGCCAGGGUGACCUGACAAGGGCCCUGAAGAUUUGGCCAGGCCUGGUACUCCCCAGUUCAAGCACAUCCAUCCUGAGGGGUCUUCAAGCCUCUGCCAAAUGGAGGAAAAUCCUCGGGUCCUGGUCAGCUGGGAAUCCUGGCUGUGUGCUAUGGGCGCCUCUAACCCACGAUCCAGCAGCCUCCCCCUGCCCUCGGCCUGAAGAGCACUGUGACUCAGGAAAAUGCACCUCCUCUCUAAUGACCAGCCCACCCACCCAGAAAGCCUUUACCCACCUGUGGAAAUGCCACCUACCAGGCCUUUGGGGGGUAGGGCUGGGAGCUAAAUUGUGAAGUUAAAACUGGCCAGUCCGAGCAGGGCGCAGUGGUGCAGGCCUAUAUUCCAUCUACUCUGGAGGCUAAGGCAGG